CUACGGGAGGCACCAGUCGAGAAUCUUCGGCAAUGGACGAAAGUCUGACCGAGCGACGCCGCGUGCGGGAUGGAGGCCUUCGGGUUGUAAACCGCUGUCAGAGGGAAGGAAAUUUUGACCGAUCCUCAAAGGAAGUACGGGCUAAGUUCGUGCCAGCAGCCGCGGUAAGACGAACCGUACAAACGUUAUUCGGAAUCACUGGGCUUAAAGGGUGCGUAGGUGGUCUAUUAAGUUGGGUGUGAAAUCCCUCGGCUCAACCGAGGAACUGCGCUCAAUACUGGUAGACUUGAGGGAGAUAGAGGCGAGCGGAACUGAUGGUGGAGCGGUGAAAUGCGUUGAUAUCAUCGGGAACACCUGUGGCGAAAGCGGCUCACUGGAUCUCUUCUGACACUGAGGCACGAAAGCUAGGGGAGCGAACGGGAUUAGAUACCCGCGUAGUC
This 440-nucleotide ribosomal RNA is filed under the name uncultured bacterium. RNAcentral describes it as "partial 16S ribosomal RNA". It matches the Rfam family "Bacterial small subunit ribosomal RNA", at positions 339 to 795 of the family's 1533-position model. The record is from RNAcentral.